Molecule: long non-coding RNA, 276 nt
Filed under: Brassica napus (rape)
Lineage: Eukaryota; Viridiplantae; Streptophyta; Magnoliopsida; Brassicales; Brassicaceae
Description: long non-coding RNA (BNAP_LNC017022)
Source: RNAcentral
CACAAAAAUAUAAACCCAAAUCCAAUAGUCAACCCUAAUUUUCCAUAUAAUAAACUCAAAUUUCGAAAUGCCAGUAAAAUGCAAUACCAUUCUACAUGAGGCAUAUAGAAUAGAAAAUAUGAAAAUGUAGUUGCAAUCUGAAGAUCAUCUUAACAUAUUUUUCAAAUGUUGAUAUGGCUAUGCCUUCAUGGAAAGUGGUAAUGCUUGCCCCAACGUCAACCCCAAUAGUACAUAAACUAAACCCUAUCAACUAAUCACUAAACCCUACACAGAAAU